This 874-nucleotide long non-coding RNA is filed under the name Setaria italica (foxtail millet). RNAcentral's name for it is "long non-coding RNA (SITA_LNC005245)". Lineage: Eukaryota; Viridiplantae; Streptophyta; Magnoliopsida; Poales; Poaceae. The record is from RNAcentral.
UCGGCGUCCUCCGCGGCCUCCUUGGCCUCCUUUUUGCCGUGGUGCUCGUGGAACGCGUACCCGCCGCUGCCCAGCGCCGCCGCCGCCGCCACGCCCUCCUCGAUCUUGUGCCGGUGCGCGUUCUCCGGGUCCUUCUUCGCCUGGUGCUUCUCGUACUGCACCCACACGAUAUCGAUACGCAUGCAUCGAUCGUCAGAAGAAAAAAAAACAUGUCGUCGGUGCGAGAGUUGCCAAUAAAAUUGAUUAAAGAGCGUGACGGACCAAGGCGAAGGCGCCGGCGGCGAGGGCGCCCAUCUCGCCGAGGUGCUCCUUGUGCUUGUGCUCCUUCUCCUCCUUCCUGUACGUCUCCGAGUCGUCCCGGGAGGAGCCGUACUCAUCGUCGCCGGACUUUUUGUUGUACUCGUCGUCGCCGGACUUUUUGUUGUACUCGUCGUCGCCGGAGGACCUGUUGUACCCGCCGCCGCCGCUGUUGUAGUCGUCGGAGCCCGACUUGUUGUACCCGCCGGCGCCGCUGCGGCCGUAGUCGUCGGUGCCGGACUUGUUGUAGCCGCCCUCGUAGUCGUCCGUGCCGCCGCGGCGGCCGGUGUACCCGUCGCCGCCGCUGCGGCCGUAGUCGUCGCCGCCGGACUUGUUGUACCCGUCGCCGUAGCCGCCGUCGCCGCCCGACUUGUUGUAGCCGCCUUCGCCGCGGCCGUAGUCGUCGCCGCCGGACCUGUUGUAGCCGCCCUCGUAGUCUUCGCCGGCGCCGGACCUGCCGUAGCCGCUGCGGCCGUACUCGUCAGCCAUCUCGAUCGCGUUCGUUACUUGUCACGUUCAGGAGUUUGUUUUCAGUACAGAAGAGUAAGCUGUGGUUGCAGUUGCGCUGUGCCUCCAG